GGCGAUUAGCCCAGCUGGUUCAGAGCAUCCCGAUUCACCGGGAGGGUCAUAGGUUCGAAUCCUAUAUCGCCCU
This 73-nucleotide transfer RNA is filed under the name Prolixibacteraceae bacterium. RNAcentral's name for it is "tRNA-OTHER". It matches the Rfam family "tRNA". Rfam says of the family: Transfer RNA (tRNA) molecules are approximately 80 nucleotides in length. Their secondary structure includes four short double-helical elements and three loops (D, anti-codon, and T loops). Further hydrogen bonds mediate the characteristic L-shaped molecular structure. tRNAs have two regions of fundamental functional importance: the anti-codon, which is responsible for specific mRNA codon recognition, and the 3' end, to which the tRNAs corresponding amino acid is attached (by aminoacyl-tRNA synthetases). tRNAs cope with the degeneracy of the genetic code in two manners: having more than one tRNA (with a specific anti-codon) for a particular amino acid; and 'wobble' base-pairing, i.e. permitting non-standard base-pairing at the 3rd anti-codon position. The record is from RNAcentral. Lineage: Bacteria; Pseudomonadati; Bacteroidota; Bacteroidia; Marinilabiliales; Prolixibacteraceae.